This 4335-nucleotide long non-coding RNA is filed under the name Gallus gallus (chicken). RNAcentral describes it as "lncRNA (ENSGALG00010006810.1)". The record is from RNAcentral. Lineage: Eukaryota; Metazoa; Chordata; Aves; Galliformes; Phasianidae.
ACUACAGAACCGCCCACUGGGAGAGAAGACUGCAUUUGAAAAAGCAGUGAUGAAAAUAAGAAAAAGUUCAUCUUUGUCUCUCAUAUUUUUAGAGAAGGAUCAUUCGCAGCAACGGAAGGACUGAAGAGCAGUGAUGGAUUAGCAAAAGGCAGAGAAGAGUCAAGAGAAUGUGGGAGACAGAAAUUGGUAUGAUUCUGCAGUUUAGUUCACCUUCAUGGGUAAGGAGUCUGUCAAAUAUUAUUACCAUGUAAAGAAGACCAAUAUUUAUUGAGAACUCUUAUUUUCUACACAUGUAUGUAAUGGGUCAGGUGCACCACUAUUUUAGCCUGUAGCUAGCUGUUAUGUGAAACAGUUAUCUGUUUCUGUUGUAUACUAGCUUGGUUAAAAUUCUACGAGCGCUGACAUUCCUACUGUCUGAUGGUCUACAUCUUCAGAUAGUAUAAAUUAAUGCUCCUGAACAUUCUGGAUCUCAGUUCAGGGUAUGUAAGAAAAUGGACAUACCCAUAGACACUGGCCUGGUAGUAUUUGAUGCAAUAAUUAAGAUCAAUUUUGUUCUCACUGUGUUUAUGUCAGGAGCAGAUUCACACUGGGAUUGAUAAUGUCAGAGGCUCAUUUGCAAACUGGAGCCUCCAUGCCUUCCAAAGUUUCAUGACAGGAGAACAAAUAGAUGUUGUAAGCUUUAUGUAGACAUAUUUUACAUGCUGUAAAACACAGAAGUCAACCAUCACCUUAUGUGUUUUUCAGGCCCUUAUGGUCAAGGUACAGUUUUAACUCAUAACACUUAAGAAACGAAUAUUGCCAAAGCAUCAUAUCUAGCUACCCUGGUGUGAGAAACCCUCAGCAUUCAGCUGGCAAGGCUCAAGAAGAUACCUUUGGAUUUGUAGUGAGAAAAUUUCAGUACUUCAUCAUUUCAUUUCUCAAGUUAAAAUUACUCAUAUUUGGAGUUUUUUUGUUUUGUUUUGUUUUGUUUAAUGUUCAUUCCCCUUGGUUUUUGAAUGGGCCUUAAAUUCAUGUUUUCUGUAGUAUCAUUUAAAACAGGAACUGGAAGCAAGCAAAUUAUAAGCUAGCUAGAGUGACCUCAGGUCCUUCUGGUAUCAUCUGCUCUCCUGGGCUUCACUGGCCUGACGUUCACACACCAUCCCUCUGCCUUGGUUCUUUCUAUUUGCUGAAUGGGAGCUGGUGAGACUUCCUCAGUCUGGCUGUCCUGGGACAUUUUUCUGUGCACUUCACCAACUUUUCACGUUGAAAAUAAAUUAGAAAAAAAGGAAUUCUACCUUCUUCACUCUCCAUGUAUCUCUGGACAAACAAGAGGAGUGCUGCUCAGUGCAAGGUCAAAUCCUAUAUUUUUUCCCAAAUAAUAACAUUUGUUGACAAAAUUCUGAUCUGACAUGAUUUUCCUUACAAGCACAGUUGUAUUCUUUUGAAAAAAUAUUAAAAAUGAUCAGGCUUCUACAGAUUCUUAGCACGCCACAUCACCAUAACAGCAAAUGGGAGAAGAAGAGCCUGGGAAGUAAUGUUUGUCCAUCUGUUCUAUUAUAAAUGAUGACCCUGGAUAUACGAUGCAUAUUUCUUCCACUUUUACAUUGCAUCACUCUAUUUCCUUUAUUUAGAUUUUAUUUAUAAGUGGGAGCAUAUAAUGUGAUCUAUUUAUAAAUCCAUUUAUAAAUGUGAUUAUAUAAUGUGAUCCAUUCACAGAAUUUGAACAUGCAGCCACGGGAAAACGGGCUUUUCAAAAGCGAUUUUUCAAAGGCACUCAUGUGUGCCCAUGAUUUGAUGUAUGACUCUGUGAAAGCUGUCACACAGGUAUUCCACAUGCUCCAACACUGACGUAUCAGCAUGCUGGCAUGAUGCCACAAAUACAACCUUUCAUCACUGGCAGCAUUUUGACUCUGCAUUUUAAGCCUCGACGAUUAAAAGCUCUGUUUUCCCCUUAGCCUCCUGCAUAACCUCUGCCUGUGCUAGAGGAACAGACUUGCAGGUAGAUGAAUGCCUCAUUUACCACAGGUCCAAAAUUUUCCAAGGUUCACGCAGUGAGCAAUACCUUUCUAUGAGGUGGCUCUGCAACACACGCACACACCCUUUAGGUUGUAUGUAUCCUGCUUCUAUAGCAGUGCAACAUAGGAGUUUUAGAUUUUCUCAGUGAGCUGUUACAAUAUCUGACCAGCCCGUGGGAAAAGGAAAGCCCAAGGUUUCCUCUGCAGAGAGCAAGCUCAUCACUGUGACAUCCUGUAUGGACUUAGGAGGCUCAUUCAUUGCAGGUGGGCCUUGCCACCUCGCUGACCUGGUGUCUUUCCUGGACACACGUUUCUGCCUUUUUCUGUCCAUUAAUUUUGAACAGCGCAGUAGGCGUGGGCAGCUUGAAGAAAGUGGAAAACAUCAGUCAAGAUGUUGAGUCAAGCCAGAGCACAGGUACAAGAAUGAAUUUGCUUUCCCAAAUGACAUUUGCAACAAAAUUAACUAGGAACAUUAAUCUGCUGGAACUUUUAUCCCAGAAGUAGAUAGACAUUAGCAUGGAGUGGAUAUAUCUCUGUUCAGUGUCUGCAGAAUGCCCAGGCCUGAGCCCAGUCUGUAGUUCCAAGGUAAUGUCAAAAUCCCAACAGAUUCUACAUGGCACGGAUGUCACCUUUUCUGGGAAACAGUCGUGCAUCGGUGUUCGAUCACUGCGCUGUUUUGUAGAUGGAAACCACCACAACGCACCUGGCGCUUACAACACUGCUGAGCAGCCAUUUUACAACGGGUGCAGUUACGACACCGGUUUCCAGAUUUGUACUGCUUCUCAGAAAGGAAGGGUGAUGCUCUGGUGCUACUUCACGGAGCAACAAUUACAAUAACAUGAUGAGCAAAAUGCAAAAGGAACGGUUACAUUGCCACGUUACCAAGGAGUGGUCAGUGCUAGGACAGCGCGUGGGGCUGACACAGGGGUCUGUCCUGACAGCACCAGCACCUUCUGGGAGGUGGAUGAGUUCUGUGUCCCACUGCUACAUGCAGUUGGCCUUUAUUCUUGUUUAAGAGCAGGCAGCUCCACAGGGGAAAGUUUUUACCUGGCUCAAUAAAUAGUGACUGACAAAUCCUUUCACUAAAAGGUUAAUCCUGGCUACAUUAAGGGGUUAUUUUUGGCUGAGAAGGGACACGGACAUAGCAACACAAACUUGACAGUGGGACCCCAUUCCUUCCCUUUAGGCAUAAAGCCAAUGGGAACAUAGCAAGUGAUUUCUGUUCCCACUGUCCUGGGACAGGUGGGCUGAAAGUUUCUCUUUUCUGUUAUGUUAUGUCUCUGUUACCUGCAGAACUAGGUACUGAGCUUGCUUUCUGGCAUCAUUACUGGGACUGCUCUAAAUUCAGCACAGGACCGGAGUGACACUGUAUAUGAGCUCAGUGAAACCUAAGAGAGAAGGUAUUUUUGGUUCAAUAGACUUCUCCUGGCACCUUCACUCUCAAACACCAUGAUAGUGCCCUUGCAAAAGGCAAUCAAAAGUGGUGAAGGAAGGAAAAUGAGUCAAGGGAAUACGCAACAGAGAAAUGAAAAUUAUAUGCAUAUAAAAAAAUUCUUACAUAGUACUAACAAAAACUGAUUCAGAGAAAAUUUAACAGCUCUGUGUUUGACUGCUCCCAGCUGUUACCAAAAGCACGCACAAAGUUUCACCAAGUUUAACAUGAGCAGCUCUUAGUAUGAGUAUUCACAGUGGAAAUCUACAGCUAGGGUGGAUUGAAAAUACUUAAUACUGGAUUUCAUGGUUGAUUAAAAAUCCAACUAAUCAAUUUAUUUAAAUGAUUUAAAAAUUCAAUUUCAUUUGCUCUGAAUUUAAAAAAAAAGUUCACGUCUUUCUGUAAAGAAUAUUUUACAUUUCAUCCAUUGGGAAGGAAAGCAGUAGGAGUAUAAAUAAAAUGCUAAUUGGGGAAAAUAAAAAACCUUCAUCAAGAAACAUAUUUCAUUUGUGUCUUGAGAAAUGUUUGUUAAACAGAAUAAAGAAGGUCACAACAUAUUUCUAUGUACUUUUUCUAUUGUAAAUCCAGUUUCUCAUUAGAAAAUUCGAGUUGCUUAAUCAGAAAAUGGGGGAAAAAAAUUGAGUGUACAUAUUUGGGAGUGAUAAAAUGGAGAAGAGACGAUACUGGAAAGAAACAAAAUUUGUAUUAAUUAAAGAGAAUGCAGUCUUGGCAGAUGAACAGAAAUAAAAUAGAAUGGCGUGGUUAUGGGUAGAACAGCAGGAUGUUUAAACAAAGAUUUACUGUAGAGGACUUUUAAAAUGCAGUCCUAAAACAUACAAGGCAUUAAAGAAUGUAUUUUAAGUCUAUAAAACAGCAGCUGAUUGUGUAUAGAUUAAAGUUAAUGAACCG